CUCAUUUAUCCUCCUUCCUUCUCUCCUCUCUGUCUCUUCUCCAAUCCCCCUCCUCCCUUUCUUAUAAAACACAAUGGAUAGGGUCAAGAAUUGGAAGUCAAUCUCAGCUACACAAGUUCAAGACCAUCACAUGUCAGAUGAGACACUACCCCCACACACAAACACACCCCAUCUCAAAUUGCAAAACAAACUAGAAAAGGAAAGAUUUCUGAACUCAGAAGUUGAAUCACCAGUUCAGUGGGGGUGCAGGAGCACGACACAGUGACUAACAGCCACCCCUCCUCUGCACUCUCAGCUGCCUUGCGCUGGCCCUUCUCUGGAGAUGCGGGGUGGAAAACCUGCGCCUCCGAUUGACGAAAUGCUUCCUCACCACCGUCAUCAUCGGCGAAGUUAAGGGUGAAGACUCAUCUUUAGUAAUAAGGCAUGACUGUAAUUCCUCACCCUCUGGCCAUUAUUAAUUAUGAUUCAUUGCAUGAAAGAGAAAAUAAAGAUCUACAUACGC
Molecule: long non-coding RNA, 502 nt
Filed under: Mus musculus (house mouse)
Lineage: Eukaryota; Metazoa; Chordata; Mammalia; Rodentia; Muridae
Description: predicted gene, 56566
Source: RNAcentral